This 153-nucleotide ribosomal RNA is filed under the name uncultured Shigella sp. RNAcentral describes it as "partial 16S ribosomal RNA". It matches the Rfam family "Bacterial small subunit ribosomal RNA", at positions 338 to 483 of the family's 1533-position model. Lineage: Bacteria; Pseudomonadati; Pseudomonadota; Gammaproteobacteria; Enterobacterales; Enterobacteriaceae. The record is from RNAcentral.
CCUACGGGAGGCAGCAGUGGGGAAUAUUGCGCAAUGGGCGCAAGCCUAUUGCAGGCAAUGCCGCGUGUAUGAAGAAGGCCUUCGGGGUGUAAAGUACGUACGCCGGGGAGGAAGAGAGUAAAGUUAAUACCACGCUCAUCGACGGAACGCAGA